UUACACAUGCAAGUCGAGGGGUAUAGUUCUUCGGGAUUAGAGACCGGCGCACGGGUGCGUAACGCGUAUGCAAUCUGCCUUUCACAGAGGGAUAGCCCAGAGAAAUUUGGAUUAAUACCUCAUAGUAUUACGACUCGGCAUCGAGAUGUAAUUAAAGUCACAACGGUGAAAGAUGAGCAUGCGUCCCAUUAGCUAGUUGGUAAGGUAACGGCUUACCAAGGCAACGAUGGGUAGGGGUCCUGAGAGGGAGAUCCCCCACACUGGUACUGAGACACGGACCAGACUCCUACGGGAGGCAGCAGUGAGGAAUAUUGGACAAUGGGCGCAAGCCUGAUCCAGCCAUGCCGCGUGCAGGAUGACGGUCCUAUGGAUUGUAAACUGCUUUUGUACGAGAAGAAACACUCCUAUGUAUAGGAGCUUGACGGUAUCGUAAGAAUAAGGAUCGGCUAACUCCGUGCCAGCAGCCGCGGUAAUACGGAGGAUCCAAGCGUUAUCCGGAAUCAUUGGGUUUAAAGGGUCCGUAGGCGGUUUAGUAAGUCAGUGGUGAAAGCCCAUCGCUCAACGGUGGAACGGCCAUUGAUACUGCUGAACUUGAAUUAUUAGGAAGUAACUAGAAUAUGUAGUGUAGCGGUGAAAUGCUUAGAUAUUACAUGGAAUACCAAUUGCGAAGGCAGGUUACUACUAAUGGAUUGACGCUGAUGGACGAAAGCGUGGGGAGCGAACAGGAUUAGAUACCCUGGUAGUCCACGCCGUAAACGAUGGAUACUAGCUGUUGGAAGCAAUUUCAGUGGCUAAGCGAAAGUGAUAAGUAUCCCACCUGGGGAGUACGUUCGCAAGAAUGAAACUCAAAGGAAUUGACGGGGGCCCGCACAAGCGGUGGAGCAUGUGGUUUAAUUCGAUGAUACGCGAGGAACCUUACCAAGGCUUAAAUGUAGAUUGACCGGUUUGGAAACAGAUCUUUCGCAAGACAAUUUACAAGUGCUGCAUGGUUGUCGUCAGCUCGUGCCGUGAGGUGUCAGGUUAGUCCUAUACGAGCGCAACCCUGUUGUUAGUUGCCAGCGAGUCAGUCGGGACUCUAACAAGACUGCCAGUGCAACUGUGAGAAAGGUGGGGAUGACGUCAAUCAUCACGGCCUUACCCUGGGCUACAACG
RNAcentral lists this ribosomal RNA (1152 nucleotides) under Flavobacterium sp. Its description in RNAcentral is "bacterial SSU rRNA". It matches the Rfam family "Bacterial small subunit ribosomal RNA", at positions 49 to 1222 of the family's 1533-position model. The record is from RNAcentral. Lineage: Bacteria; Pseudomonadati; Bacteroidota; Flavobacteriia; Flavobacteriales; Flavobacteriaceae.